Long non-coding RNA from Passer domesticus (house sparrow), 1111 nucleotides. RefSeq lists it as uncharacterized. NCBI's taxonomy places the organism in Eukaryota, Metazoa, Chordata, Aves, Passeriformes, Passeridae. The record is from RefSeq and is a predicted model, not a curated record. The transcript is spliced from 3 exons.
GGUGGUUCAAGUUUUCUCUGAAAGAGUUGUCAGGCAGCCUCAGUUAUCCAUGAAGAAAACAACACUCCUCAGAACAACUUUUCAAGACUACUGAGACCACAUCAGUGCUGCUGGAAACAUUGCAGGAGCAUUUAUUUCAGCUUUGGUUUCCUCUGAAUUAUGUAUUUGGAAAUCAGUGUCACCAUACUAGCACAGGAAAAAAACAAAAAUACACCUCAGCAUCCUCAUUGUUUGGUCUUUGACAGAAUGAAAAAUGAAUCUGCUCAGCAGGACACAGUGACUGCUUUCUAAGCAAACUGAUGCAUAGAGACAAGCCCUUAUGUUAAGGACAAGGAGAAUACCAGUAGGUCAGAGCAUCUCUUCUCUUUCUGUCACUGUCCUGUUACUCCUGGAGAGGACCCACAUCUCAGUGAAGCUGUGGCUUUCAUUUGUCAUUAAAUCAUGGAAUAUCCUGAGUUGGAAGGGAUCCACAAGGACCAUCCAGUCCAUCUCCUGCCCCAGCACAAGACAACCCCAACAAUCCCACCCUGUGCCUGAGAGCUUUGGCCAAACACUUACUGAGCUCUGUCACCACCGGGGCUGUGAUAAUUCUCUGGGGAGAAAUAAAAACUCCAGAAAAUAAAAAUCCUGGAGUCCUGUGUUGUCAGUGGUUUCAAGUUCAUGUGACUGAAACGAGAAAACCAAAAACUGAAACACCAGCUGGAAGUUAGUCAAGCAAUUAAAGACAGACAUCUGAAAUAACCUUGGCUGCUCAACACUGGGACAAAUUACCAAAGGAAGUGAUAAAUUGUUCACUUUUUUUGAGACUUCAGAUUAAAAUCAUAAGCUCUUCCUUGAAAAGUUCUGUGAUUGCACUCAAGCUGGCAGAUUUAAGAUGUGAAUUGCUAAAUAAACUUCUAAUUUAGAAAGUCCAAAGCAGACACAUCCUAAAGGUAAUUCAUCCUGCUCACUCUUUCUUCUAAGAACUGAUAAUUAUUUUUGAAAGUUCCUCCCUGCCUUCACUGACUAAAUGGAACCCACAAAGUUUAUUUGCUUGGAUACUUCAGUGUGCAUGGCUAAUGCAAAUGUUUUUCUGUUUUGUUUGGCUUGAAAUUAAUAACAAUGAUUGGAA